This 280-nucleotide long non-coding RNA is filed under the name Ananas comosus (pineapple). RNAcentral describes it as "long non-coding RNA (ACOM_LNC019235)". The record is from RNAcentral. Lineage: Eukaryota; Viridiplantae; Streptophyta; Magnoliopsida; Poales; Bromeliaceae.
AGAAAAAAAAAAAUGAUGAAGUUGUAUUGUUUGAGGUGAAACUUGCACUUUUGAGGUGAAAAUUAUACUAUUUGAAAUAAAAGUUAUAUUGUUUGAGAGAAAAGUUGCACUUUUGAGUCAAAUAUUUAUAUUGUUUGGGACGAAAUUUUCACUCUUUCAUAUAAAAAUUACACUAUUUGAAAUUAUUUGAGACUAAGUUACAAUACAUAAAACAGAAGUUACACUCCUUUAAGCGAAUGUUGCACUAUUUAAAAUUAUUGAGGCAUAAUAACACAAUGCU